GCAGACACAUUCCAGCCAAUCAGCAGCAGACCCUCCCUCCCAGACCGUCCCAACUUCUGGACAGCAUCCAUUUUGAAGCUGCAUUCUUAGUGAGCUGUCCAGGAGGUGGGAGGGUCUGGGAGGGAGUGUCUGCUGCUGAUUGGCUGGAAUGUGUCUG
Molecule: microRNA precursor, 157 nt
Filed under: Pelobates cultripes (western spadefoot toad)
Lineage: Eukaryota; Metazoa; Chordata; Amphibia; Anura; Pelobatidae
Source: RNAcentral